This is a long non-coding RNA of Oreochromis aureus, 901 nucleotides long. NCBI's taxonomy places the organism in Eukaryota, Metazoa, Chordata, Actinopteri, Cichliformes, Cichlidae. The record is from Ensembl.
GGUCAAUCGUGGAUCAGGGAAAGCGAAGGCAGGAGCGUGAGGUGAACUGAAUUUCAGGGACUGGGACUUCCUGGAAUCACUAAGAGGAGGGACGUAUCACAGAGAAGGUGCCUGGCUUUCUACGGGUUUUAAACCAAACUGAAAACCCCUCCGUCUCUAGCUUCAUGUCUGCCAGUUAAAAGAAGAAAUAACAACAGGAGAAGAUGAUCUGCAGGAUCCUGCUGCUCAUCAUCCUCCCCUCAUGUGUCUGUGGAUCAUUUGUAGUCAAUGUGACACAGACCUCCUAUCAGGCAGAGGAGAACCACAACAUCACACUGGAGUGGACGUUCACCACCAAACCUGACAGAUCCAACAAAACCCUCAACAUCUUUUGUGAAGUCUUCAUCAGUGAUAACGUCUCAGUCCUGUAUCAUGUUCAUGAAGGUGUUGAGGUGUCAGAGUCUCAGGAUGCAAAGUUUUCAGGACGAGUCCAGAGUGACAAAGACGCCCUCAGAGAAGGACGAAUCAGACUUCAACUGUCCAGACUCAGGACUGAUGACUCGGGUCUGUACCUGUGUGAGGUCAACACUGAUUAUGGCUUCAGUGUUGGAAGAUGUCGACUCAACGUCACUGGGAGAAGAUGAUCUGCAGGAUCCUGCUGCUCAUCAUCCUCACCUCAUGUGUCUCUGGAUCAUUUGUAGUCAAUGUGACACAGACCUCCUAUCAGGCAGAGGAGAACCACCUCUGCAGCUCACACCUCACUGAUGGCUGAACAACUACAAACCAACACAAACAUUUAAUCAGCUACAACCACUGUAAUAGAAGCAACCAUAAAGAAAACCCCACACUUUAAUUUACUCUGAACAUAUUUCACAUUUUAAAAUGUUCACAGGUGAAGAAAUGUUCUAUUUUUGUCACAUGG